UACGGGGGGGGCAAGCGUUGUUCGGAAUUACUGGGCGUAAAGGGCGCGUAGGCGGCCUGCUAAGUCGGACGUGAAAUCCCCCGGCUCAACCGGGGAACUGCGUCCGAUACUGGUGGGCUCGAAUCCGGGAGAGGGAUGUGGAAUUCCAGGUGUAGCGGUGAAAUGCGCAGAUAUCAGGAGGAACACCGGUGGCGAAGGCGGGUCUCUGGGCCGAUACUGACGCUGAGGAGCGAAAGCGUGGGGAGCGAACAGG
RNAcentral lists this ribosomal RNA (253 nucleotides) under uncultured bacterium. Its description in RNAcentral is "partial 16S ribosomal RNA". It matches the Rfam family "Bacterial small subunit ribosomal RNA", at positions 524 to 776 of the family's 1533-position model. The record is from RNAcentral.